CGUUUGACGUUAGCGACAGAAGAAAGCACCGGCUAACUCCGUGCCAGCAGCCGCGGUAAUACGGAGGGUGCGAGCGUUAAUCGGAAUUACUGGGCGUAAAGCGCAUGCAGGUGGUUUGUUAAGUCAGAUGUGAAAGACCCGGGGCGUCAACCUCGGAAUAGCAUUUGAAACUAGGCAGACUAGAGUACUGUAGAGGGGGGUAGGAAUUUCAGGUGUAGCGGUGAAAUAGCGUAGAGAUCUGAAGGAAUACCGGUGGCGAAGGCGGCCCCCUCGGACAGAUACUGACACUCAGAUGCGAAAGCGUGGGGAGCAAACAGGAUUAGAUACCCUGGUAG
RNAcentral lists this ribosomal RNA (335 nucleotides) under uncultured bacterium. RNAcentral's name for it is "bacterial SSU rRNA". It matches the Rfam family "Bacterial small subunit ribosomal RNA", at positions 466 to 793 of the family's 1533-position model. The record is from RNAcentral.